GGGCCCGUAGCUCAACUUGGAUAGAGCAGCAGCCUUCUAAGCUGUUGGUUGCGGGUUCAAAUCCCGUCGGGCCCA
This is a transfer RNA of 75 nucleotides. It matches the Rfam family "tRNA". From Rfam's summary of the family: Transfer RNA (tRNA) molecules are approximately 80 nucleotides in length.